UCUUUUCAGUUUUCUCCCACUCUUAUUUCUCUAUUGCAAUGCCAGAGGCAUGGUAGUGAAUACAUUUGGAUUCCUGAAAUAUAUGGGGAAUGGUAGCGAACAUUUUGAUUCCUGGAGGAUUUUCAUAUCCAGGAGAAAUGGAGUGAUACAAACUUAAUUGUUUGGUUCUGUUUUAACUUAGUCCAGGGCUUGGGGUUUCAAUUCCACACACUGCAACUGGCCCAGGGGAUGACAUGAUGGCAUAAGUGUUGUUGGGAUGAAACUAUGAUAUUAAGCCUUCAGAUAUCUGAACUCGCAUUGAUUACAAUAAACAAAUGCUGAAGGCUCAGAGAAAUCUUUGCAGGUAGAUACAUUGUAAGUGCCUCUACAUGCAUAACCAUACUUUUAGAAGUUGUUGUGUGGGUUGAGGCUGAGCCUUUUGUACCAAAAAGUCUGGAAUAUCUACGCAUCGAAUAAUCUCUUAGCAAUGACUGUGUCAUCCAUAUUCAGAGAACUAGAACUGUCUUUCGAUGAGUAAUUCCACCUAGAUCAACAGCUAUCUUAAAUAAGAUAAAGCGAAGGAUUCCCUCUAACAAGGUGUGCUAGUGGAACAAGAAUAUUUCAAUUUCUGAAAGGAUAUCAAUACAGAGUCUCUCCAAAUCAAGUCUAGUUAUUCAUCAAAGAAUAUCUGUUCUCAUCCUUGGUUUGAUCAAUGAAGUCAAGAGAGCAUUUAUGCCUUUGAUCAUUCGAACUAUGGAUAUCGACACAAAAUCCCUUGACAUCAAAAUAUCACCACAUGCCACUGCCACAAACAGAAGGUUCUUUUUGCUAGAGAUAGUAAUGUAAACCAUAAGGUUAUGUGGAACCCAUGAUUGGCUAGAAGAAAGUACUUCUUGGUUCUAGAUUACAAGCAGAACCAUGCACUUAAGAUCCCAUUUAGAUUUACACAUACAGCAUGGUGCCAUCAUAAUCACAUUUUUGACAGGGUGACUACAUUCAAGUAGCCUUAUUCAGAUGACGCGAUGUCUGGUUUGGCAUAGAAACAUUAUUCUCUGCAUAAACAUAUAGUCUAUGGCUUGGCAUCCGCAUCCAUAUCACAUGCUUGGUUUGACAUUGAGGCGGUUUGCUACCUUCUGACCGAGCGAAACAUCACACUGCACCCACAAAGCAAUAAUAAGGAAUCAAGGCAGGGAAAAUCCAGCAUGCUUGUUUAGAUCUGAUGAUUUUUUUCAGAUUUCAUUC
Molecule: long non-coding RNA, 1221 nt
Filed under: Phoenix dactylifera (date palm)
Lineage: Eukaryota; Viridiplantae; Streptophyta; Magnoliopsida; Arecales; Arecaceae
Description: long non-coding RNA (PDAC_LNC015408)
Source: RNAcentral